This 63-nucleotide transfer RNA is filed under the name Tetraclita squamosa squamosa. RNAcentral's name for it is "tRNA-Asp". It matches the Rfam family "tRNA". Rfam says of the family: Transfer RNA (tRNA) molecules are approximately 80 nucleotides in length. Their secondary structure includes four short double-helical elements and three loops (D, anti-codon, and T loops). Lineage: Eukaryota; Metazoa; Arthropoda; Thecostraca; Balanomorpha; Tetraclitidae. The record is from RNAcentral.
GAAAAUUUAGUUAAAUUAUAAUAUUAGCUUGUCAAGCUAAAGUUACUCCUUCAGUAAUUUUCU